RNAcentral lists this transfer RNA (73 nucleotides) under Limnodynastes salmini (salmon-striped frog). RNAcentral describes it as "tRNA-Leu". It matches the Rfam family "tRNA". From Rfam's summary of the family: Transfer RNA (tRNA) molecules are approximately 80 nucleotides in length. Their secondary structure includes four short double-helical elements and three loops (D, anti-codon, and T loops). Lineage: Eukaryota; Metazoa; Chordata; Amphibia; Anura; Limnodynastidae. The record is from RNAcentral.
GUUAACGUAGCACAACACGGUUAUGCAAAAGACCUAAACUCUUUCAAUAUGGGUUCAAAUCCCCUCGUUAACU